This 7716-nucleotide long non-coding RNA is filed under the name Gossypium raimondii (Peruvian cotton). RNAcentral describes it as "long non-coding RNA (GRAI_LNC002998)". The record is from RNAcentral. Lineage: Eukaryota; Viridiplantae; Streptophyta; Magnoliopsida; Malvales; Malvaceae.
CGAGACCAACUAGGUAGAAGAAAACACAAAAUUAAUUGAAACAAGAAAACUAAAAGUCCCUCUGUCCAGUCAAAAUUAAUGAAACUGCCAUCCACCACUCCACAAAUCUCACAUUAUUGCUGUCAGUUGCAAUUCUUCGGAGAAGCUACUUUUCAUCAGAAUCGUCUAUCUUCUUCUCUAAUAGCAUGAAAGACCUUAGAGAUUCUCAGCUAGGUUCACGAUCCCCCUGCCUUCCCAGUCCCAACGAAGUGACGGUGUAAGAAGGCACACUUUGUUCCAGGUAAAACUACUCUUCUCUCUUUAAACUCUCUAUGGCAAUAAUGUGAGCUGUUUGAUUUACCCAUCUAGGAAUAUGCUUAAACCAGAUCUUAUUAAAUUGACCAUUAAUCUGGUGUAUUUCUCUAAUAUAAGCUCCUAUUUUUGACUUGUCUUCAACAUCGGCCUGGCAUUUCUUUAUAAUUAUUAAUGCAUCUUCCUCAAUUUCUACUUCUCCCACACCCAUGGUUAUCCCUAACCUAACUGCAUUAUGUACCUCAUGGGUAUUAGAGUCAAUUAUUGAGUCAAGUAAUAAUUUGUAUGCGCUCCUAACUAAAAACUUGCCUGAAGAUUAACCUUUCCACACUAACAGAUCAUCGUAUUCCACCGUGGCCAGAGUGAUCGGCAAAAUUCUAUCUGCAUCUUCAACGAAAAAGGUAUCUCGGAUCACAUCUUCUUUCCAAGAUCUAUACAAGCUGUCAAUUAAUUCUACGACUCUAGUUUUUCCAUUACCACGAACAAAACCACUGAUUUUGUAAUUAAUAGAUCCAAGGAUCCAAGCAUCCUGCACAACAUUGAUUUUGUCACCCUUGCCCACUCUCCAACAAAGGUCUAUCUCCAGAAGGCCCUUAAUGGCUCAAAUACUUUACCAAAUAUACCACAGUAAUUCCCCAACCUAACAUUCAAAAAAUACUCUUCAAAUAGUAUUUUUCUUUUAAAACCCGUGCUAAUAAAGAAUUUGGAUAAUGUAUAAGACGCUAACCUUGCUUUGCUAAAAAUGCUAAGUUGAAUUUAGAUAGGCUGCGAAAACCUAAACCUCCCACCUUUUUCAACUCGCACAACCUAUUCCAUUCACACCAACAGAUACCUCUUUAGCCAUACCCUUUUUUCCACCAAAACCUAAACAUAGUACCCUCUAUUUUAGCACAAAGAAAUUUAGGUAACAAAAAAUACAUCAUAAAGUACGUAGGAAUAGCUCAGAGGCCUGUUUUAAUGAAAACUUCCUUACCCCCUUGAGAUAAAAAUCUCGUUCUCCAACUAUCAGUUCUCUAUUUGAACCGGUCUUUUAAAAUUUGAAAUGCCAAUCUCUUACUUCUCCCAUCCUCAUACUGGAGUCCCUCUAUUUCAUUAGUCCAUAUUCUCUAUGAGGCAUACUUAUGGAAGAAAGUUGUGUUUUUAUCUCCCAACUGUAGCCAAUUUACACGCACUCGCUGCUCCCAAAACAUCUUGUCAUUAUCUAUCUCUGAAUUCAACUUAAUUUUCGUGUCAAGCAACCCGUUCUGAACCCACUCAAGCUUCACAAACAAAUCACUUUUAUCACCACCCCAUAACUUCCAAACCUCUUCCUAAAAAAACUCUUCCAUUACCCACCAUGCCUUAAAACGAAACCGCAUAAUUCUUUGAUGAAUGUCUUGCUCCGUUUGGAUAAGGAGAGGGCAAUGAUUUAAAUACGAGUAGGGUAUAUGUCGUACCAUGAAGUUAUGGAACAAAUUCAACAAUCUUUCGUUAGCCACUCCUCUGUUCAACCUCUCUUUGAUAUUUGUCUCUGAAAGAUUCCACCUUUCCCAUGUAUACCAUGAUCCAAAAUAGUCCACAUCCACUAAGUAAUAGCCCUCUAAAACUCCUCUAAACAUUUCCAUCCUCCUCUCAUCCCUAGGAGCACCCCACUUUCUCAAAGGAGUACAAGAUUUCGUUAAAAUCCCCACAUGCCACUCGCAGGGAAUCCUGUAAGGUCCUCAAUAACUUUAAAAUCCUCCAUAAAUCCUCUCUUUUUCUAUCAUAAGGAGCCUUAUAAAACCAUGUGAAAUGCCAUUGUAAAUUACUCUUAGACUCUUAAACAUCCAUAUCAAUAUAAUACGCUGAGUAACUUAUAAGGGAGAUAGUGCUAUUACCUUUCCAAGCUAUGGUUAAAACACCUCGCAAACCAUUCGUAGAAACAUCGAACCCAUUAAAGUAACCAAAUCGCCUUUGAACAUUCUCCAUUCUUUUAUCAUUCAAUUUAGUCUAAAUAAAUAAGACUAUCUAGAGAUUAUACAUCUUUAGCAAAUGCUGAACCCUUCUAACUACCUGUAGCCUCCCCAAACCACGGACAUUCCAACUUAAGAUUUUCAUUGUGACCGGCCAACUUACCUCUUGGCAACCACCGAUAGAAAAUGGGCUCUCCCCAUUGGUUUUUCCUCCCUCACCACUAUCACAUCUUCUAUUCCACUAAAACUUUGAGUUUUCCUUCACCAUUGUUAAUCGGCAUCUCAUCCGCAUCGAACUCCAUGUUAGCCUUACCUCAUUCCUGUUCCUGGCCUAGAUUUUUGUUACCCAUUCCAAGUUAAGUCCUAAUAUAGGAUCCAACCGCACUCCCAAACCUCUACAAAUCCCUUCUUGAGAUCUAUUCCCCAUAUUCGAUUGUUGAAUAUUACCCCCAAAUCUGCCCCCAUCACUAUCUUCUAUCAACCACACACUCUGCAUAGCAACAACUCUCCUAAACUAUGCAUGAAGGGAUAUAUCCCAUCCUAACUCGAUAGACUCUUUUCCUUUUGGCAUCUUGAUUUGAUAGAAGGAGUUAUUGUGCCCAAGGUGACCACAGUAAAAGCAAAACAUAGUUAAUCUCUAAUAUUUGAAACUGACAUAAGAACAGUUUCUCGAUGCAAAAAUAAUCUUUUUCUUCCACUUCAAAGGCCUCCUAACAUCCAACUGAACCUUGACCUGAAGAAAGUUUUGUACACCCUUACUUAGAUUCUUCGAAUCAUAUUCUAAUAACUUGCCUAAAAAUUAUCCCAAUCGUCGCACAACAACCUCUGAGAAAAAACUCAUUUGUAACUCACGAACUUGGACCCAAAAAUUAACAAAAAUUAAUGGAACCUUCAUCGGAUCUUUCCCUUCCCCCAAUCGAUGGAACACUAAGAGGUGGUUAUUAAAAGUCCACAAUGCAUCAUUUAAAACUCGAUCCAAAUCCAACAUAUGAAAUAAUUUACAAAUAAAUCUUUUAUCAUGCAAAUUUGAUAUCUGAACUCCUCUAACAGGAUGCUAGACAUUCGUUAUUGUGCUUUUCAUAGCAGGAUAAUGUACUAUACUCACCGUCAGAAAACAACCAACCAAACUAAAAUUAUUUUCCACCACAUGAGAACUGGGAUCUCUUUAAAUCAGCAGACCCUCAUCUUCAACAUCUUCCAAAGAAAGAUAUGCUAACUCAUUUUCCAUUUUUGUAAGCCAAAAAACUCAGAUCCACUCCACCAAAUAAAUAAAAAACUGUUUCCAAAAGAAUAAAAAAGAAAAUUCAUAACGAAAAAAUCCAAAGAAAAUAGACAUAGGCAUGCUUGCAUAGCAGACACAGACAUGUUAGAAUAGCAUACUUCUCAUCAACUCCAUAUAAGAAUAAGCUUUUUUAAUCAAAUUCAAAAUCGCGUAAUGAAUUUAAUUUGCACGAUAUGAAAAUUUGAAUAAAUACAACUUUUGUUUUUACUUUUCUUUCAAUUUAGACCCCACACUAAGGUUUAGACUCAUAAUCAAAUACACAAAUCCGCCACCUCGAGUUGUUCAACAAUGAUGGUUAUCAAAGUAUCCACAACCCUCUGGGAAUUGGGGCUCAUAAUAAUAAAACCUGAUCAAGUUGAACUUUUCUCCCUCGACCCUCUGGUAAUUGAGGAAUUCUAAAUAAUCUAAUGUAAAGACUCUAUGACGUACCAACUAUAUCUUAUCUAGUCGAACUUAGUGAAAUGGGGGUAAAAACCAAAUUUUAUGAUCCAUUUUCAUAUAAUUCUCAUUUCAAUUUUGUUUUAUGUUCAAAUCACAUAUCGCCUAAUAUAAAAUUAGGCUUCCAAUUCAAAACAUAUUAAACAUUUUCUUGCUCAACCAUCUAAAUUCAUAAUACUCAAAUUCAAAUCAUAACCAUGAAUUUGCUAAUUUAAUCAUUUGAAAAAUAUAGUGUUCAUCUUGAAACCUAAUUUUAUAAAUAUUAACUAAAUCAUUCAAACUCAUCCAAAACUCAUAAAAAUAGAAUAAAAUUAAUAUAACUAGCCAUAGUAAACUAAAUAUUCUAAAGCUUUAUGUCAUGAAAAUAAUAUAUUAGCAUAAAUCGAAGUUUCAAUUGCUUUACUCCUUUUUGCCUUUCUCCUUCAAGAUACUUGCUUCAUUUUUAGUUACAAUAGGAGCAAUUCAAUACAAAAAAUGUCAUUUAUCCAUUCUAAUACUAAAACUAAUAAAAACAAACUUAAAUAUGAAUGGUUAAUCAAGUUGACAACUUAAGUUUCCUAGUUUGAAAUUCGCAUAUCUUUCGAUUUGAUUAUCCGUUUUCAUUUUCUUCUUCACCACAUACUCACUGUUUCACAAGCUAUCAUUUAGCACCAAUAUUACACAAAGUAGCCAAGGUGAUUUCCUCUUCACCAUGACCAAAUGUACCACGUAAACUUUCUAUCCAUUUUUGUUUCUUCUUCACACUUCUAACAAGCUAGAAUUCAUCUUCUAAUCAUUUCCUAUAAAAAAAAUGUACCUAUUUCACUUACGUUUUCUAAGCUUCCAUUAAUAUCCUUUAAUGGAAACUUUCAAUAUACUUGAUAAAAUAAAAAAACUAUUGGUACAUAUAUGUAAAAUAAGCUUCAAAGAUUCAAAAUCUAUGAAAAGUUUUAAGAAAAACCAUAUCUUAUGCUUGAAUUUGAAGGAAAAUGAUGAAAUAAUUUUUUUCUUCUUCUUUCCCCAACUUUCGUGAAUAAGAAAGAAACAUAAAGAAAUAUGUUCUUCUUCUUUUAUUUAUAUCAUAAUAAUACUUAAUAAGAUACUAAUAUUUUAAAUAAAAUAUUAAAUAAUAAUUAUUUAAUAAAAUUAUCAUUUAAAAGCCAUAAUGAAACCAUUGAUUUUUUUAAGUAAUGGUAAAAUUGCCAUUAAGUCAUUUCUAUCAAAAUAAAAAUAGGACAAUUGCACUUUAGUCUAUAUACUUUUCCAAUUUAUUCAAUUUAUUCCCUGAGCUCGAUACCAGAUUUUUAACUUAACUACAUGCUCCUACUAAUAAUUUUCUCUGUUUUCAUAUCAGAUAGUUUUCUUUAAAAACGAUCACAAUUUCUUAUACUACUAUUUAUUUAUAGAUCACUUAUUCAAGGACUUCUACCAUAAAUAUUCUUUUUUUAAAGUGGGGAUGUUAUAGAAGAUGUUUGAAAACUAAUGUCAUUUGUAAGAAAAUUGUAACAGCUCGAGUUUUAGUGGUGACAGAACAAUGGUUUUGGGACCAUAAAUUUCCAUCGUGUCAACUCGUAAAUAUUAUUUUAAGAAUAUUUAUAGAUUCAUUAGAUUCAUAUUAAAAUUUGGUUAAGAAAUUUUAACGUUUAGAUAGUUAAUUAUAGAAAAAGGACUAAAUUGAAAAGGGUGUAAAAUGUGGUAAUUAUAACAUUUUGGUGAUUUAAGGGCUUAAUUAUUAAUUAUAAAGGAAAAAUGUAGUACAUAGCCCUUAUUAUUGACAUUGGACGGCAUUAUGUAUUAAAAUUAUAAAAUAUUACAUGUUUUAAUUGCAAAAUGGUAAAUUUUAUGAAAUAAAAAUAAAAUUAAAUUAAGAAAAAUACAUUUCUUAUUCAUCUAUUAAAUUCAUCUUGCCAAAACACCAUAAGAACUUAACUUCGAGGUUCGACCAUUGUUAAAUCUUGCAUGUAAGUCCAUUUUGAUUCUAUUUUUUGUAAUUUUUAUGUUUUUGAGAUUAUUACAAUUAGGUCCAGCUAGCCCGUACCUUCGAUUUUGAAUCUGUUAAAAAUGUUAGAAGUUUCCAUUAAUUAAUCCUGAAUUUUGUUUAGGAUAACCAUGUAUUUGAAGCUUUGGUUGUGUUGUUUGAUUAUUUUGUGAAGUGAUUUUUGUUAAAUUUUGAUUUUAGAAUUAAAUUGUGAAAGUGUCAAAAUUUUAGCGUUUGAUAGUGAAUUUGAUGUUUAGUAGGGACUGUAUAAAGGCCUAGUAUAUUCGACUAUAAUUUUGACUUGAGAAAAAUAGUUAAUUGGAUGAUUUUCGGGUUAAUGGAUUAAUUUACAAAAAUUAUAAAAGUUUGGGGUAAUUGUGUAAAUUUAGAAAAUAAAAGGGUAUUAAAUGUAAAAUGAAUUGGAAUGUGAAAUGUAAGCUGAUAAUUGAGAAAUUUUAUAUUUUAGAUCAAGACCCAGUUGAUACUCGUGGGAAAGGAAAAAUUAUGGAAUAGUCCUUGAACCUCUAUAACUAUGACAAUUCAGUCCAAGUAAGUUUGUUUGGUUUAAAAUUUAACAUCUAUAUGAGUUUUUAAAUAAUAUAAAAUGGUACAAUAGAUAUAUUUAUAUUAUUGAUGAUGAAAGGUUAUUUGAGAAAUAUUAUUGAAUUUGAUGUUUGGAUCGAAUUGAACGUAGGGUAGAGUACAAUCGAGAAAUGGUAUGUUAUAGGGGAUUGGAGUGAAGAUUUUUGUGGAGACUGUUUCCCGAGUGGGUUGAGGUUUAACAUUUUUUUGAGAACUCUCAUGUUAUACUCUCUGUUUUGGUGUGUUUCGGUUGGACUAGCUCUUAUGAGCAUUGGUGUGUUUCGAAAGGAUUAGCUCUUAUAAGCAUUGGUGUGUUUCGGAUGGAUUAGCUCUUAUGAGCAUCUGGUGUGGUUUGGUUGGAUUGUCGAUGUACUCUUAUCCGUAAGUCGUUCAUCGAAUUGAAAAUCUCGGUAAGGUAACUUGUUGAGUGAUUUUGAUGGAUUUUCAAUAUAUUUGUGUAUUAAAUUGAACAUUUAUGAUUUAUCGAUUGAGAUUGUGGAUUAUAGGGAUCAUUCAAGGUUGUAUUCAUAUUACUAUUUCAAUUGUUGUACUUACUUCGGUAAUAUUUAUCAUUUUAAUACAUCAAACUUACUAAGCUUCAUUGAGUUUACUUGUGUUAAUUAUUGUUCUUGUAGAUGCUCGGAAGGUUGGACAAUCGGGUCGGCACUCAAGUUACACUAUCCAUAAAUUUUGGUAGUUUUUGGAACGUUUAUUUUGGAUUAUAUGGCAUGUAAUAGGCUUUUGUGUCAUUAUUAUUUGUUUUGGAUAUGUAAAACGUUAGGUAUGAUCUUAAAUGCUAAAUGUUAACUUAUAUGAUACAUGUGUAUGAGGUAAAUUAUUUUGGAUGCAAAUAUGAAUGUUAUAUGUUAAAGUAAUGUUGUGUUGGAGGUGUUUAUUAUAGGUACAUUGGUUAGGUGUUAGAUUUGGUGAAUUAAUAAGUUAUGAUUAAUGUUUCAUGUUGAUGUAUAUUUGUAUAUACUUGUGGUAUCAAUAAGGAUACAUUAGUUAGAGAAUUAGGAGGUUGAUUUGGCAUGUUUUUGGGCUUGUUUAAUGUCAAUUUUAAUAGGUAUUUUGGUUGGUAAAUGUAUUACGUAGAGUUCAAGUAAGUCUGAAAUGGUAAACUUGUUGUUUAAGGUUCAUUUUGGGUCCACACAGCUUGAGACACGGGCGUGUGGCUCAACCGUGUGAGACACACGGCCUGGCGACAUGACCAUGUGUUAUCUGAUGAGUUUUUG